ACGACCUUACUUGAACAGGAUCUGUUCUAUAGGAUCGUACAGUUGCAUCCUUGACUAAUAAGGAGGCAAGCAUUUAAGCUUGGUUGAUGAUAUCUGACCUGUGUGCCAGAGCGUGAUUAACGGCUUGGAUCACAUGCUGAUCUAUGGCUGUAGAUGAUCGUUCCUGUUCAGCCUGCCUGACAACAGGGGUGGCUCACAGGUUGUCUGACAAGUC
Aegilops tauschii subsp. strangulata is the source of this 214-nucleotide small nucleolar RNA. RefSeq annotates it as small nucleolar RNA U3. The record is from RefSeq and is a predicted model, not a curated record. NCBI's taxonomy places the organism in Eukaryota, Viridiplantae, Streptophyta, Magnoliopsida, Poales, Poaceae.